Molecule: ribosomal RNA, 154 nt
Organism: Protopterus annectens (West African lungfish)
Lineage: Eukaryota; Metazoa; Chordata; Ceratodontiformes; Protopteridae
Product: 5.8S ribosomal RNA
Exons: 1
Source: RefSeq, a predicted model, not a curated record
AACUCUGAACGGUGGAUCACUCGGCUUGUGCGUUGAUGAAGAACACAGCUAGCUGCGAGAACUAAUGUGAAUUGCAGGACACGUUGAUCAUUGACACUUUGAAUGCACUUUCCAGUCCCAAGUUAUUCUCAGGGCUACACCUGUCUGAAGGUUG